GCCAUCAUUUAAAGAAAGCGUAAUAGCUCACUGGUCGAGUCGGCCUGCGCGGAAGAUGUAACGGGGCUAAACCAUGCACCGAAGCUGCGGCAGCAACAUUUCGAUGUUGUUGGGUAGGGGAGCGUUCUGUAAGCCUGCGAAGGUGUGCUGUGAGGCAUGCUGGAGGUAUCAGAAGUGCGAAUGCUGACAUAAGUAACGAUAAAGCGGGUGAAAAACCCGCUCGCCGGAAGACCAAGGGUUCCUGUCCAACGUUAAUCGGGGCAGGGUGAGUCGACCCCUAAGGCGAGGCCGAAAGGCGUAGUCGAUGGGAAACGGGUUAAUAUUCCCGUACUCGGUGUUACUGCGAAGGGGGGACGGAGAAGGCUAGACCGGCCGGGCGACGGUUGUCCCGGUUCAAGCGUGUAGGUGGGAAGAAUUGGUAAAUCCGUUCUUCUGUAAACACUGAGGCGUGAUAACGAGGCACUACGGUGCUGAAGUGGUUGAUGCCCUGCUUCCAGGAAAAGCCUCUAAGCAUCAGGUAACAGUGAAUCGUACCCCAAACCGACACAGGUGGUCAGGUAGAGAAUACUCAGGCGCUUGAGAGAACUCGGGUGAAGGAACUAGGCAAAAUGGUGCCGUAACUUCGGGAGAAGGCACGCUGGCAUUAGGUGAAGGGACAGGCUCCCGGAGCCGAAGCCAGUCGCAGAUACCAGCUGGCUGCAACUGUUUAAUAAAAACACAGCACUGUGCAAACACGAAAGUGGACGUAUACGGUGUGACGCCUGCCCGGUGCUGGAAGGUUAAUUGAUGGGGUUAGCGGCAACGCGAAGCUCUUGAUCGAAGCCCCAGUAAACGGCGGC
This 839-nucleotide ribosomal RNA is filed under the name Xenorhabdus bovienii. Its description in RNAcentral is "bacterial LSU rRNA". It matches the Rfam family "Bacterial large subunit ribosomal RNA", at positions 1115 to 1934 of the family's 2925-position model. The record is from RNAcentral. Lineage: Bacteria; Pseudomonadati; Pseudomonadota; Gammaproteobacteria; Enterobacterales; Morganellaceae.